Molecule: ribosomal RNA, 160 nt
Filed under: Petunia reitzii
Lineage: Eukaryota; Viridiplantae; Streptophyta; Magnoliopsida; Solanales; Solanaceae
Description: partial 5.8S ribosomal RNA
Rfam family: 5.8S ribosomal RNA
About the family: 5.8S ribosomal RNA (5.8S rRNA) is a component of the large subunit of the eukaryotic ribosome. It is transcribed by RNA polymerase I as part of the 45S precursor that also contains 18S and 28S rRNA.
Source: RNAcentral
AACGACUCUCGACAACGGAUAUCUCGGCUCUCGCAUCGAUGAAGAACGUAGCGAAAUGCGAUACUUGGUGUGAAUUGCAGAAUCCCGUGAACCAUCGAGUCUUUGAACGCAAGUUGCGCCCGAAGCCAUUAGGCCAAGGGCACGUCUGCCUGGGCGUCAC